UCACAGUAUCAAGCUUGGCUUGUUGUUGGGCCCUCUGUCACUUGGUGGCAGGUCCGAAAGACAAUGGCCGGUGGAACAGACUCCACAUGCAACGAGCUGACUACAGCACGCAUCUGGCAGUUGUGUGACCCGGUUCUACACCUCUUCUUUCUCAA
Molecule: unclassified non-coding RNA, 155 nt
Filed under: uncultured Chaetothyriales
Lineage: Eukaryota; Fungi; Ascomycota; Eurotiomycetes; Chaetothyriales
Description: sequence contains ITS2
Source: RNAcentral